This 636-nucleotide ribosomal RNA is filed under the name Triticum aestivum (bread wheat). RNAcentral's name for it is "partial small subunit ribosomal RNA". The record is from RNAcentral. Lineage: Eukaryota; Viridiplantae; Streptophyta; Magnoliopsida; Poales; Poaceae.
AUGCCCGCGCCGGCGGCGCUAGCCCUCGCGGCGGCCCUGCUGCUCGCCGCCGCGUCCAUCUGCGCGGAGGCCGUGUGGCUCGACAUGCCGCAGACCGGGACCAAGUGCGUGUCGGAGGAGAUCCAGGCCAACGUGGUGGUGCUCGCCGACUACGCCCUCAUGUACGAGUCCCACCCCUCCGCCCACCCCACCAUCGCCGUCAAGGUUACUUCACCAUAUGGGUACACCUUACAUGAAAGUGGAAACAUUACAGUUGGUCAAUUUGCAUUCACAACCUCGGAAGCUGGAAACUUCCUUGCCUGCUUCUGGAUAGAUAGUGCAGAGAAAGGAUCAGGCGUAUCUGUAAAUCUUGAUUGGAAGACUGGAAUUGCAACAAAGGAUUGGGAUGCUAUCGCUAAGAAGGAAAAAAUAGAGGGCGUAGAACUAGAGCUUAGGAAGCUUGAAGUGGCUGUACAGUCGAUUCAUCAGAACAUGGUAUACCUCAAAGCAAGGGAAGCGGAGAUGAGGGAGGUGAGCGAGAAAACAAACGGCAGGGUUGCUUGGUUCAGCAUCAUGUCGCUGGGCGUCUGCGUCGUGGUGUCGGUUUUGCAGUUGUGGCACCUUCAAGGGUACUUCAGGAAAAAGAAGCUCAUCUAG